This 391-nucleotide ribosomal RNA is filed under the name uncultured eukaryote. Its description in RNAcentral is "SSU rRNA". It matches the Rfam family "Eukaryotic small subunit ribosomal RNA", at positions 587 to 972 of the family's 1831-position model. The record is from RNAcentral.
AGCUCCAAUAGCGUAUAUUAAAGUUGCUGCAGUUAAAAAGCUCGUAGUUGGAUUUCUGAUGUGACAUGCCUGGUCCGCCGUGGUUACACGUGUGAGUACCGGGUGUUGUCCGUCUGUCUUCUUACUGUUGUUGCUGCCACUUCACUGUGCCAGUAAUAGCGAGUAAGAUCUUUUACUUUGAACAAAUUAGAGUGUUUCAAGCAGGCUUCUGCCAUGAAUACAUUAGCAUGGAAUAAUAAGUUAGGACUUCGGUUCUAUUUUGUUGGUUUCAAGAGCUGAAGUAAUGAUUGAUAGGGAUAGUUGGGGGUGCUAGUAUUCAGAGGCCAGAGGUGAAAUUCUUGGAUUCUCUGAAGACUAACUUAUGCGAAAGCAUUCACCAAGGAUGUCUUCU